RNA transcript from Cebus imitator (Panamanian white-faced capuchin), 3214 nucleotides. It is a transcript of the gene named integrin subunit beta like 1, with no coding region annotated. Lineage: Eukaryota; Metazoa; Chordata; Mammalia; Primates; Cebidae. The record is from RefSeq and is a predicted model, not a curated record. The transcript has 14 exons.
UUCCCUGCCUAGACUCUCCACUGAGGGGUUUGGCACCAGCACCCCGCCCAGAGCAGCGCCGCUGCCCAAAUCCUCGCUGCAAUUGCAACUCCGGCUGGAGCCCUGGACCUGCACGCCUGGGUGUCCGUGGGUCCGUCUGCCCGGCCAUCUGCUGGUGGCACCACUCCCUCCUGCUGCCUCCCCUGCUGAACCCCACCUUGCAGAAGUGCAGCUCGCCCCAGCAGCCCAGGAGCGCAGCAUGCGUCCCCCAGGCUUCAGCAACUUCUUUCUGCUGGCGUCCUCCCUUCUCUUUGCUGGGCUGUCAGCUGUUCCUCAAAGCUUCUCGCCAUCUCUGAGGAGCUGGCCGGGCGCCGCCUGCAGGCUGUCCCGGGCCGAGUCCGAGCGCCGCUGCCGCGCACCUGGGCAGCCGCCGGGGGCCGCGCUGUGCCACGGCCGGGGCCGCUGCGACUGCGGCGUCUGCAUCUGCCACGUGACCGAGCCGGGCAUGUUCUUCGGGCCCCUGUGUGAGUGCCACGAGUGGGUGUGCGAGACCUACGACGGGAGCACCUGUGCAGGCCAUGGUAAGUGUAACUGUGGCAAGUGCAAGUGUGACCAGGGAUGGUAUGGAGACGCUUGCCAGUACCCAACUAAUUGUGACCUGACAAAGAAGAAAAGUAACCAAAUGUGCAAGAAUUCACAAGACAUCAUCUGCUCUAAUGCAGGUACAUGUCACUGUGGCAGGUGUAAGUGUGAUAAUUCAGAUGGAAGUGGACUUGUGUAUGGUAAAUUUUGCGAGUGUGAUGAUAGAGAAUGCAUAGAUGAUGAAACGGAAGAAAUAUGUGGAGGCCAUGGGAAGUGUUACUGUGGAAACUGCUACUGCAAGGCUGGUUGGCAUGGAGAUAAAUGUGAAUUCCAGUGCGAUAUCACCCCCUGGGAAAGCAAGCGAAGAUGCACAUCUCCAGAUGGCAAAAUCUGCAGUAACAGAGGGACUUGUGUGUGUGGUGAAUGUUCCUGCCACGAUGUUGAUCCUACUGGGGACUGGGGAGAUAUUCACGGGGACACCUGUGAGUGUGAUGAAAGGGACUGUAGAGCUGUCUAUGACCGAUAUUCUGAUGACUUCUGUUCAGGUCACGGGCAGUGUAACUGCGGAAGAUGUGACUGCAAAGCAGGCUGGCAUGGGAAGAAAUGUGAGCACCCACAGUCAUGCAUGCUGUCGGCUGAGGAGAGCCUCAGGAGGUGCCAGGGAAGCUCUGAUCUGCCUUGCUCUGGGAGGGGUAAAUGUGAAUGUGGCAAAUGUACCUGCUACCCUCCAGGAGAUCAUCGUGUGUAUGGCAAGACUUGUGAGUGCGAUGAUCGCCGCUGUGAAGACCUCGAUGGUGUGGUCUGUGGAGGCCACGGCACAUGUUCCUGUGGUCGCUGCGUUUGUGAGAGAGGAUGGUUUGGGAGGCUCUGCCAACAUCCGCGGAAGUGUAACAUGACGGAAGAACAAAGCAAGAAUCUGUGUGAAUCAGCAGAUGGCAUAUUGUGCUCGGGGAAGGGUUCUUGUCAUUGUGGAAAGUGCAUUUGUUCUGCUGAAGAAUGGUAUAUUUCUGGGGAAUUCUGUGACUGUGAUGACAGAGACUGCGACAAACAUGAUGGUCUCAUUUGUACAGGAAACGGAAUAUGUAGCUGUGGAAACUGUGAAUGCUGGGAUGGAUGGAAUGGAAAUGCAUGUGAAAUCUGGCUUGGCUCAGAAUAUCCUUAACAAUUACAUGAGAGAGGAUACCUUUCUGGAAACCUGGGUUCAUGCAAAGAAUCAAGAAAAGAAAUAUUGUGAUAAAAUAGCACCAAUCUCAGAGGCUCACAAAAGGACCAAAAAAAAAAAAAUCUAGAAAUGGCUUAAAUAGAAAUUACAAAUAUUCACUCAGUGAUAGGAACAAAAAUUUUUAUUUUCUUAAUGGUGAAACUUUGCUUUGUAUGAAAUUCACAUUGAAUUAUGAAAAUGUACAAUAAUUGGGACUUCCUUUAUAUAUUUACAGGUAAAUCUACUUAUACACAUUAGGCAACCUUUAGUUAUUUAGAGCUUAAAAAAAAACCACUUUUUUUUCUAAAGGUGAGUUAUUUUGUAAAAUCCUAUAAUAAUGUAGCAAAAUCAUUUCUAUAUUAUUUUAAGAUGAAAAUUUUUACUUGGAAAUUUUAUUUUAAUGAUGUAAGUAUUCUAGAAUCAUGGUUUGAAUUUUAUAAGUCAAAUUACCAAAAAUAAGGAAAAUAUGCAUCCACUGAGUUACUUAAAAAUUUAAUAUUGAAAAUUAUUUUAAGAGAACAUUUAACUGAUGCUGAUUUUUCUAGUACUAAUAAUGUUCUCAUAAUGUAAUACAUUUAUAAAAUUGUUAUCUCUAUCCUGAGAUUAAGGAAUGCAACCAUGUUGUAGUUCUAUUAUUAAGUAAAUUGAUAUCUCUCUUUUGUAAAAUGAGGGAAAUAUAGGUAGUCAAUAAAUAAUGUAGGUUAUAUUCUUUCUUCUUCACUACCUAAACAUUUUAAGCUGCAAACAACCUAUUAUUAUUGUUCUGUAGCAAUUUUGAUGACAUAUUUGCUAAUGCACAGACAUUGGAAUCCAUUACAUUAUCUAGCCAUCCUAAUACAAAUGAGCUUUGGAUUCUCUUAUCCCAGGGUUUAUCCUCCUGUUAAGGACCAGAAAGUUAAACUUUACAGACCACAUAUAUCCCUGUCUCAUAGUCUUCUUUGUUUCUUUUUACCACUUUAAAGCUGUAAAAAAAAAAUAAUUCCUUCUGAGUUCCCAGGCCAUACAAAAACAGAUUAAGGGUGGAUUUGGCUGGCAGCUGAACAGUACUUUGUCAGCCUCAGCUCCACUGGAACUGCCCUUGAUUCUCUAUGGCUCAUCACAAAACCUCAGACGCACUUGUGCUUUUACUUGGCGUCACCCCGGGCUUCGGGACUGUUUCCCCAACAUCAUGCAAAGAUGGUUCUCGGUACAUGGCAACUAAUGAUGGGAAGAAAGGAGGAGGAAAAGGAAACAGUGCUUGGUUAGGUGCAGGAAUGGUCCAUCUGUACAUGCACAGACCACUGCAGUUUGCCCACUUCUGUUUUCCCUGAGAAUCAUCACCAUCACAACAACGAAAUCAACAACAGAUGAGUUCCAGCAGAAGCUUGAAUAUUAAUUUGCACCGCUGCUGAACUAAAUCAUCAAGUCAUAGGAGAGAAAAAUGCAAUAAUUAAACAGAAACGUUAUAUCUUU